RNAcentral lists this transfer RNA (49 nucleotides) under Reseda lutea (yellow mignonette). Its description in RNAcentral is "partial tRNA-Leu". Lineage: Eukaryota; Viridiplantae; Streptophyta; Magnoliopsida; Brassicales; Resedaceae. The record is from RNAcentral.
UCGACUUUUAAAAUCGUGAGGGUUCAAGUCCCUCUAUCCCCAACUUUAU